UACGUAGGGUGCUAGCGUUGUUCGGAAUCAUUGGGCGUAAAGCGCGUGUAGGCGGUUAGUUAAGUCAGAUGUGAAAUCCCUGGGCUCAACCGAGGAAGUGCAUUUGAAACUAAUUAGCUAGAGAGUGGUAGAGGGCGGUGGAAUUCCGUGUGUAGAGGUGAAAUUCGUAGAUAUACGGAGGAAUACCGGUGGCGAAGGCGGGUCUCUGGACAGUUCCUGACGCUGAGGCACGAAGGCCAGGGGAGCAAACGGG
RNAcentral lists this ribosomal RNA (253 nucleotides) under uncultured bacterium. RNAcentral's name for it is "partial 16S ribosomal RNA". It matches the Rfam family "Bacterial small subunit ribosomal RNA", at positions 524 to 776 of the family's 1533-position model. The record is from RNAcentral.